This 61-nucleotide transfer RNA is filed under the name Loxodonta africana (African savanna elephant). The record is from Rfam by way of RNAcentral. Lineage: Eukaryota; Metazoa; Chordata; Mammalia; Proboscidea; Elephantidae.
UGGUGAUUCAGUGGUAAAUUCUCGCCUUCCAUGCGGGAGGCCUGGGUUCAAUUUCCAGCCA